This 469-nucleotide ribosomal RNA is filed under the name uncultured bacterium. RNAcentral's name for it is "partial 16S ribosomal RNA". It matches the Rfam family "Bacterial small subunit ribosomal RNA", at positions 28 to 507 of the family's 1533-position model. The record is from RNAcentral.
GACGAACGCUGGCGGCGUGCUUAACACAUGCAAGUCGAACGGAAAGGCCCUGCUUUUGUGGGGUGCUCGAGUGGCGAACGGGUGAGUAACACGUGGGUAACCUGCCCUUGACUUUGGGAUAACUUCAGGAAACUGGGGCUAAUACCGGAUAGGAGCUCCUGCUGCAUGGUGGGGGUUGGAGAGUUUCGGCGGUUUGGGAUGGGCUCGCGGUCUAUCAGCUUGUUGGUGGGGUAGUGGCCUACCAAGGCGUUGACGGGUCGCCGGGCUGAGAGGGUGGACGGGCAAAAUGGGGCCGGGGUUAGGCCCAGGCUCCUAAGGGGAGGAAGAGUGGGGAAAAAUGCAACAUUGGGGGGAAGCUGGUGCAAGGAAGCCGGGUUGGGGAUGGCCGGCUUCCGGUUGUAAACUCGUUUCGCUAUGGGCGAAACGUUGUGUGACGGUACCUGGUGAAGAAGCACCGGCUAACUACGUG